RNAcentral lists this ribosomal RNA (460 nucleotides) under uncultured bacterium. Its description in RNAcentral is "partial 16S ribosomal RNA". It matches the Rfam family "Bacterial small subunit ribosomal RNA", at positions 338 to 795 of the family's 1533-position model. The record is from RNAcentral.
CCUACGGGUGACAGCAGUGAGGAAUAUUGGUCAAUGGGCGCAAGCCUGAACCAGCCACGCAGCGUGAAGGAUGACGGCCCUCUGGGUUGUAAACUUCUUUUUUACAGGAAUAAAGUCAGACACGCGUAUCUUUGUGUACGUAAUUUACGAAUAAGGAUAGGCAAACCUCGUGCCAUCCGCCGCGGUAAUUCGGAGGAUUCGAGCGUUAUCCGGAUUUAUUGGGUUUAAAGGGAGCGUAGGUGGGUUGGUAAGUCAGUUGUGAAAUUCUGCGGCUCAAACGAAGAAGUGCCAUUGAUACUGGCAGUCUAGAGUGCAGUUGAGGUAGGCGGAAUGCGUGGUGUAGCGGUGAAAUGCUUAGAUAUCACGAAGAACACCGAUUGCGAAGGCAGCUUACUAAGCUUCUACUGACGUUGAGGCACGAAAGCGUGGGUAGCAAACAGGAUUAGAUACCCCAGUAGUC